Long non-coding RNA from Magallana angulata, 626 nucleotides. RefSeq lists it as uncharacterized. The transcript has 3 exons. Lineage: Eukaryota; Metazoa; Mollusca; Bivalvia; Ostreida; Ostreidae. The record is from RefSeq and is a predicted model, not a curated record.
AUUUUGUAGUUUGAUGUUUGUUAUUAUUAUCAAUAUUGUCAUUUGCUUGUAAAGAAAGCAGUAUCACUCUAUAUUCACUAGCAUUUAUCUAAAAACAUUGUCUUGCUAAUAUUCGUACAUACUUUAUUGGGCUGUUUCUAGGUGAAAUUUUGGAUAUUGAUUUUGUUUGGUUGGUUUGCAAGUUUCGUUAAACUAGCAUCGUAAAGAGAUGUUAUCAAACAAGGGAGUUUCUUACAUGAAAAUGGAUAUGCUGAACACGUUCCUUAUUUUCGCUGUUUUGAAUGUAAUUGUUACAAUGGCUAAAUAUAAAGAGACAAGUUGUCCAUGGUCAGACCAGGUUGAAACAGUUGAUUCAUGUCCACAAACAGCUGUUGAAUGGAAAGAAGCAGCCGCUAGGAAAAGCUGUAAAACUAUACUGCAUAACUGCUUCUCAUCGGAAUACCACUGCGUUAUAUUUUAUUUAUGUUUUUAUUAUGUAAUUUUGAUGUGGUAGCAUAACGUUUGGUUAUUUGUUAAAUAAUCGAUAACGUGUAUUACUUAAAUUAGAUAUUCUCAAUUUUUUUUCUUUCAUCAGAAUUUACAUUCAUAAAUAUUAAUAUAAAUAAUGUAGAUUAUAUUCUUGUUCA